Molecule: ribosomal RNA, 465 nt
Filed under: uncultured bacterium
Lineage: Bacteria
Description: partial 16S ribosomal RNA
Rfam family: Bacterial small subunit ribosomal RNA
Source: RNAcentral
CCUACGGGAGGCAGCAGUAGGGAAUCUUCCACAAUGGGCGAAAGCCUGAUGGAGCAACGCCGCGUGGGUGAAGAAGGUCUUCGGAUCGUAAAACUCUGUUGUUAGAGAAGAAAGAGCGUGAGAGUAACUGUUCACGUUUCGACGGUAUCUAACCAGAAAGCGACGGCUAACUACGUGCCAGCAGCCGCGGUAAUACGUAGGUGGCAAGCGUUAUCCGGAUUUAUUGGGCGUAAAGGGAACGCAGGCGGUCUUUUAAGUCUGAUGUGAAAGCCUUCGGCUUAACCGGAGUAGUGCAUUGGAAACUGGGAGACUUGAGUGCAGAAGAGGAGAGUGGAACUCCAUGUGUAGCGGUGAAAUGCGUAGAUAUAUGGAAGAACACCAGUGGCGAAAGCGGCUCUCUGGUCUGUAACUGACGCUGAGGUUCGAAAGCGUGGGUAGCAAACAGGAUUAGAUACCCGAGUAGUC